UCGGGAAUAUUGCACAAUGGAGGGAACUCUGAUGCAGUGACACCGCGUAUAGGAAGAAGGCCUUAGGGUUGUAAGCUAUUGUCGUGUGAGAAGAAAAUGACUAUCACAGGAGGAAGCCCUGGCUAAAUAUGUGCCAGCAGCCGCGGUAAUACAUAUGGGGCGAGCGUUAUCCGGAUUUAUUGGGUGUAAAGGGUUCGUAGGCGGGAAAGUAAGUCAGUAUGUGAAAUCCCUCGGCUCAACCGAGGAACUGCAAUUGAAACUACUUUUCUUGAGUACUGGAGGGGAAAGUGGAAUUCUUAGUGUAGCGGUGAAAUGCGUAGAUAUUAGGAAGAACACCAGUGGCGAAGGCGACUUUCUGGACAGUAACUGACGCUGAGGAACGAAAGUGUGGGGAGCAAAC
RNAcentral lists this ribosomal RNA (400 nucleotides) under uncultured bacterium. RNAcentral's name for it is "bacterial SSU rRNA". It matches the Rfam family "Bacterial small subunit ribosomal RNA", at positions 355 to 773 of the family's 1533-position model. The record is from RNAcentral.